AGAGUUUGAUCCUGGCUCAGAACGAACGCUGGCGGCGUGCCUAAUACAUGCAAGUCGAACGAGAAAGUGGCUUCGGUCAUGAGUAAAGUGGCAGACGGGUGAGUAAUACAUAGGUAACCUACCUCCAAGAUGGGGAUAACCUUCCGAAAGGAGGGCUAAUACCGAAUGAGACCACGGUUGCACAUGCAACAGGGGUUGAA
This 200-nucleotide ribosomal RNA is filed under the name uncultured bacterium. RNAcentral's name for it is "partial 16S ribosomal RNA". It matches the Rfam family "Bacterial small subunit ribosomal RNA", at positions 8 to 205 of the family's 1533-position model. The record is from RNAcentral.